UUUGUGGCUUUAUUCUUUUUUUUUCAGAUGUUCAUAUUAUGCAAAGGAUGAGUGGUUGUAAAUGGGAUGAUGAGACUGGAGAAAUUAAUGGAUACAAUCAGUAUGGUUAUGAUGGAGAAGACUUUAUAGUGUUUGAUCUGCAGACAGUGACAUGGAUCACUGCAUAACCACAGGCUGUCAUCACCAAACUAUGAUGGAAUAUGGAACAUGCCCGAUUACAACAUAAUAAAAACUCUUUAAGCCAUUUAUGCCCGAAGUUUUUAAAGAAGCAUUUCCACUAUGGGAGGAGCUUUCUGGAGACAGCAGUUCUUCCCUCAGUGUCUCUCCUCCAGAAGACUUCCUCCUCUCCAGUCAGCUGCCACGCUACAGGUUUCUAUCCUUAAAGAGCCGAGAUGUUCGGAGGAAAGAUGGAGAGGAGCUUCAUGAAAGCGGGGAUCAUGGACAGAUCCUCCCCAAACAAACUGGUGUAAGACUGGAUACUGCCACAGUUAUGAAACUGUCAUUUGGUAUAUUGGAGAGGUUAAUUUUACAAUCUAGAUUAAAAUUUAAUCUAGAUUGUAUCUAGAUUAAACUGCACACAUUUUUGUUCUGUAUCAUAAAAUCUCAUACUUUUGUUUAACAGAGAAGCCCACUGACAUCAUGACCUUUAUCGGUGCAGCACUGGUUGUUCUAGUUUUCACCAUCAUUGCAGCUGUGACAUUUGUGAUUUAUAAAAGGAAGAAAGGUGAGAAAUUGUAACUGAGUAAAUACUGCAUUUAGUUUUAACAUUAAUGUUCUUAUCCAUAUUGUCAGUUGUGUUGGUUUGAUAUAAUUUUCAUUUGCUUAUUUCAGCUUAUUGUUCUACACUCUCUAAGCAAAACCUCAGUUUAUUGUAUUUGUAUUUUGUCAGAUGUGAUAUGUGAUUAAAGAAGUAAAUUUAGACCAAUUACAGAAUCAUGCAAAAGCAAAACCUUCAUGGUGUCUUGCCACUACAGAUUCCCUUUGUUAUUUAUGCUAUCACUCACUUGACAACCACUAGUCCCUCUGGGGAGAGAGGGUUGUGUUUGCAAACAGAAACCUACAAUCACUGUUUAUUAUACUUUGGAAAAGACAAGAAAAAUCCAGACUUUUUUUUUUAUCUUACAGCUCCUGAUAAUGUCCCCGAGCAGUCUGAGAGACUAAAUCCACAAUCCUGACUAACCGACAAGUAGUUCUGCCCUCCACUCUUUCCUCUGGCUGCUUCUGUAUGUUAUGCGGCUCAAACACAUUCAUUAAACUCAUGAUUACAUUAAUUAAGCUAAUCACAGCAUUUUGUAGACCAAUGAUGGACAGGUUAUAGCGCUUGUUGUAUAUUAGUGCACAAAUAUUUUUACUGAUUUUUUUCCAGCUGUGUAUGUGUAGAUGUAUUUGCCAUUUGAAUCUGCUUCUUUGAGUAAUUGCUGUACACAUGCACUGGCAUCAUCAUUCCUCUCCAAAGCAACAGUAUCAAAUUUAAUGUUGAUUAUCAUCUAGUUUUGGUUAUUACAGUUUGGUUGUUAUACCUAAUGCUCCAUCUAGGGUCUCCCUCCUUCCUCUGCUGGGAUGGAUAUGCA
This is a long non-coding RNA of Oreochromis niloticus (Nile tilapia), 1571 nucleotides long. Lineage: Eukaryota; Metazoa; Chordata; Actinopteri; Cichliformes; Cichlidae. The record is from Ensembl.